GCAACACAAUUGCCAGACUUUCCUGCCACCAAAAGGAGGAAUCAUCAUCUAAUAAUUGGAUUGCGGGGGGUAAGGCCUUGGGCCCCCAGGCAGUAUCUGGACAUACCCCACCUGUACCCACCAGCAGGGACAGAGACAGCAGGAAGGCUAUUGGGCUCUCAAGCCCUGGACUAUGUGCCCUCCUGACCCCAUGCCCCUGCCUGGGGAAAGGGAGCAGUGAGGACGGAAGUGGAGAGUUGGUGAUCCUGGGCUCCCCUGGCCCUCUGUCAAGCUCUGGCUCUCUCUUGUCUACUGUUCCAGAUCCCCACCUCUGCAGGGCCCCAGGCCUGUUCAGCCAGACCCUGCUCCUCUUGCAACCAACAAGGGAAUCAAAUUUCCCCCAGGCUGGCUGGGGCCCUACUUGGGUAUCUCCACUAUGGGCAGUUUGUCUCCACAGCAUGACACCCUGUGAGCCCAUGGGCCCAUUACUGUUCCCUGCAGCUCUGCCCUGUGAGGCCCCAUCCUGGUCUCCAAGGCAAAAUGGGGGCCCUUGAACCCACAUGCCCCCAGCCAAGACCCUGGAGAGAGUUUGGAAACUUCGUAGGAAGUUGUGGGAGACACCUUGGUUUGUUUGCUUUUGUUUUGGGGUUCUUAAAUUUAGGGAUUCCACCCUUAUCUUGUGCAGACACAAAUCAGAUUUUUGUAAUUGCAGAUAGAUGGAAGUGUUUGGGCAUCAGAGGAAGGUUCCACUGGCCCUUCAUCCAGUGGGACCUUCUACACACAGCUAUUACGUUCUGCUCGCAAUGGAGACACCCAAGUAGGUUCCACUAGCCCUGUCCCACAAGAGCCCAGCUAUUGCCUGGCAGUAUUUCUUUACCAAGAACUGGGCUGCCUUGGGGACCAGGUGGGUGAGCACAAGGGAUGCCUGGCCUCUCUGUCCUGAGACCCCCCUUAAUUAUGACCCUUACAGCCAUGUCCACCAGCAACCUGGCAGGCAAGACAAUGGCACAACCUCCUUUCACUGCAUUUAGGGAGAAAAGGGCUGGCCUCUCUCUGAAGGAGUGCAGAAAAUACACAUUAUUCAAGCAAGUUAGCAUGAGGCAAGCCUAGAGCUUUUACACAGGGCUGG
RNAcentral lists this long non-coding RNA (1108 nucleotides) under Homo sapiens (human). Its description in RNAcentral is "long non-coding RNA NONHSAT244675". Lineage: Eukaryota; Metazoa; Chordata; Mammalia; Primates; Hominidae. The record is from RNAcentral.